GUUCUGGUUGUUCAGGGAAGAACAAAGUUCCGGAGUUAACUGCCCGGUACUUUGACGGUACCUGACCCAGGAAGCCAGGGCUAACUUCGUGCCAGCAGCCGCGGGUAAUAGGUAGGUGGCAAGGGUUUUCCGGAAUUAUGGGCGUAAAGCGCGCGCAGGCGGUUUUUAAGUCUGAUGUGAAAGCCCCCGGCUCAACCGGGGAGGGUCAUUGGAAACUGGGGAACUUGAGUGCAGAAGAGGAGAGCGGAAUUCCACGUGUAGCGGUGAAAUGCGUAGAGAUGUGGAGGAACACCAGUGGCGAAGGCGGCUCUCUGGUCUGUAACUGACGCUGAGGCGCGAAAGCGUGGGGAGCGAACAGGAUUAGAUACCCUGGUAGUCCACGCCGUAAACGAUGAGUGCUAAGUGUUAGAGGGUUUCCGCCCUUUAGUGCUGCAGCAAACGCAUUAAGCACUCCGCCUGGGGAGUACGGCCGCAAGGCUGAAACUCAAAGGAAUUGACGGGGGCCCGCACAAGCGGUGGAGCAUGUGGUUUAAUUCGAAGCAACGCGAAGAACCUUACCAGGUCUUGACAUUCUCUGACAACGCUAGAGAUAGGGCGUUCCCCUUCGGGGACAGAGUGACAGGUGGUGCAUGGGUUUUUUUCAGCCUCGGUUGUCGCCACCUCGCGGCGUGAGAUGUUGGUUUAAGUCCCCAACAAGCGCAACCCUUUGAUCUUUAGUUGCCCGCAUUCUUUUGGGCACCCUAAGGGUAUUGCCGGUGACAAACCCCGAGGAAGGGGGGGGAUGACUCCAAUCUUCUGGCCCCUUUAUGGACCCGGGGUUC
Molecule: ribosomal RNA, 821 nt
Filed under: Bacillus sp. f1b3
Lineage: Bacteria; Bacillati; Bacillota; Bacilli; Caryophanales; Bacillaceae
Also listed under: 1 other name
Description: bacterial SSU rRNA
Rfam family: Bacterial small subunit ribosomal RNA
Source: RNAcentral